CUGGGCUACACACGUGCUACAAUGGACGAUACAAACGGUUGCCAACUCGCGAGAGGGAGCUAAUCCGAUAAAGUCGUUCUCAGUUCGGAUUGUAGGCUGCAACUCGCCUACAUGAAGCCGGAAUCGCUAGUAAUCGCGGAUCAGCAUGCCGCGGUGAAUACGUUCCCGGGCCUUGUACACACCGCCCGUCACACCACGAGAGUUUGUAACACCCGAAGUCGGUGGGGUAACCUUUUGGAGCCAGCCGCCGAAGGUGGGAUAGAUGAUUGGGGUGAAGUCGUAACAAGGUAGCCGUAUCGGAAGGUGCGGUUGGAUCACCUCC
Molecule: ribosomal RNA, 322 nt
Filed under: Bacillus sp. (in: firmicutes)
Lineage: Bacteria; Bacillati; Bacillota; Bacilli; Caryophanales; Bacillaceae
Description: bacterial SSU rRNA
Rfam family: Bacterial small subunit ribosomal RNA
Source: RNAcentral